RNAcentral lists this unclassified non-coding RNA (347 nucleotides) under fungal sp. RNAcentral's name for it is "partial internal transcribed spacer region". Lineage: Eukaryota; Fungi. The record is from RNAcentral.
AAGUCGUAACAAGGUUUCGUAGGUGAACCUGCGGAAGGAUCGUUAACACGUAUCCAACGUUAAACCCCCCUGUGAACUUUUACACUUGCUCUCGUGGCCUGCUAAAAUUGCAAUCCCUGGUAAAUCAUUGUUGACAGAUUUUGAUUCAGGGACCUCAGUUUGGUAGGUUUCGAUCGAGCGAUCGUUGCAAGUGGAAGGAUAACGCUUUACGAUCACUGGCGGAACACCGGCCAGUGGACGGGUCGCAGCGGCUUCGGCCCCCCCAUAUUCACCCCACUACCAGAACUCGACUCGUAGGAAACUGCUAGGCAACAAAACGAACCUGUUAACUGGAUAUCUUGGUUCUC